RNAcentral lists this ribosomal RNA (915 nucleotides) under uncultured bacterium. RNAcentral's name for it is "bacterial SSU rRNA". It matches the Rfam family "Bacterial small subunit ribosomal RNA", at positions 33 to 932 of the family's 1533-position model. The record is from RNAcentral.
ACGCUGGCGGCGUGCCUAAUACAUGCAAGUAGAACGCUGAAGGAGGAGCUUGCUCUUCUGGAUGAGUUGCGAACGGGUGAGUAACGCGUAGGUAACCUGCCUGGUAGCGGGGGAUAACUAUUGGAAACGAUAGCUAAUACCGCAUAACAGUAGAUGUUGCAUGACAUUUGCUUAAAAGGUGCAAUUGCAUCACUACCAGAUGGACCUGCGUUGUAUUAGCUAGUUGGUGGGGUAACGGCUCACCAAGGCGACGAUACAUAGCCGACCUGAGAGGGUGAUCGGCCACACUGGGACUGAGACACGGCCCAAACUCCUACGGGAGGCAGCAGUAGGGAAUCUUCGGCAAUGGACGGAAGUCUGACCGAGCAACGCCGCGUGAGUGAAGAAGGUUUUCGGAUCGUAAAGCUCUGUUGUAAGAGAAGAACGAGUGUGAGAGUGGAAAGUCCACACUGUGACGGUAUCUUACCAGAAAGGGACGGCUAACUACGUGCCAGCAGCCGCGGUAAUACGUAGGUCCCGAGCGUUGUCCGGAUUUAUUGGGCGUAAAGCGAGCGCAGGCGGUUAGAUAAGUCUGAAGUUAAAGGCUGUGGCUUAACCAUAGUACGCUUUGGAAACUGUUUAACUUGAGUGCAAGAGGGGAGAGUGGAAUUCCAUGUGUAGCGGUGAAAUGCGUAGAUAUAUGGAGGAACACCGGUGGCGAAAGCGGCUCUCUGGCUUGUAACUGACGCUGAGGCUCGAAAGCGUGGGGAGCAAACAGGAUUAGAUACCCUGGUAGUCCACGCCGUAAACGAUGAGUGCUAGGUGUUAGACCCUUUCCGGGGUUUAGUGCCGUAGCUAACGCAUUAAGCACUCCGCCUGGGGAGUACGACCGCAAGGUUGAAACUCAAAGGAAUUGACGGGGGCCCGCACAAGCGG